This 473-nucleotide ribosomal RNA is filed under the name Streptomyces lavendulocolor. RNAcentral describes it as "bacterial SSU rRNA". It matches the Rfam family "Bacterial small subunit ribosomal RNA", at positions 628 to 1102 of the family's 1533-position model. The record is from RNAcentral. Lineage: Bacteria; Bacillati; Actinomycetota; Actinomycetes; Kitasatosporales; Streptomycetaceae.
CGAUACGGGCAGGCUAGAGUGUGGUAGGGGAGAUCGGAAUUCCUGGUGUAGCGGUGAAAUGCGCAGAUAUCAGGAGGAACACCGGUGGCGAAGGCGGAUCUCUGGGCCAUUACUGACGCUGAGGAGCGAAAGCGUGGGGAGCGAACAGGAUUAGAUACCCUGGUAGUCCACGCCGUAAACGUUGGGAACUAGGUGUUGGCGACAUUCCACGUCGUCGGUGCCGCAGCUAACGCAUUAAGUUCCCCGCCUGGGGAGUACGGCCGCAAGGCUAAAACUCAAAGGAAUUGACGGGGGCCCGCACAAGCAGCGGAGCAUGUGGCUUAAUUCGACGCAACGCGAAGAACCUUACCAAGGCUUGACAUAUACCGGAAACGGCCAGAGAUGGUCGCCCCCUUGUGGUCGGUAUACAGGUGGUGCAUGGCUGUCGUCAGCUCGGUCGGAGAUGUUGGGUUAAGUCCCGCAACGAGCGCAAC